This is a regulatory RNA element of Nocardiopsis dassonvillei subsp. dassonvillei DSM 43111, 67 nucleotides long. The record is from Rfam. NCBI's taxonomy places the organism in Bacteria, Bacillati, Actinomycetota, Actinomycetes, Streptosporangiales, Nocardiopsidaceae.
GCGUCGGCGCGUUCCGCGAUACCCCGGACGAGGUGCGCCGUACCCGGUGACGACAAGACGGCGCGUU